UCGUGAGAUGUCGGGUUAAGUCCCUUAACGAGCGAAACCUUUGCCCUUAGUUACCAUCGGGUUAUGCCGGGGACUCUAAGGGGACUGCCGGUGUCAAACCGGAGGAAGGUGGAGAUGACGUCAAGUCCUCAUGGCCUUUAUGCCCAGGGCCACACACGUGCUACAAUGGCGUGGACAGAGCGAACCAAGAGCGCAAGCUGGAGGAAAUCGCAAAAAUCACGCCCCAGUUCAGAUUGGAGGCUGCAACCCGCCUCCA
This 256-nucleotide ribosomal RNA is filed under the name uncultured bacterium. RNAcentral describes it as "partial 16S ribosomal RNA". It matches the Rfam family "Bacterial small subunit ribosomal RNA", at positions 1065 to 1320 of the family's 1533-position model. The record is from RNAcentral.